UGCAGUCGAGCGAGAACCAUGGCUUCGGCCAUGGGGACAGCGGCGAACGGGUGAGUAACACGUGAGUAAUCUGCCCUCGACAUCGGGAUAGCCCGGGGAAACCCGGAUUAAUACCGGAUAGCCUCUGGAGCUCUAGGGCUCUUGAGAAAAGAUGGCUUCGGCUUUCGGUUGAGGAGGAGCUUGCGGCGGAUUAGCUUGUUGGUGGGGUAAAGGCCCACCAAGGCGACAAUCCGUAGCUGGUCUGAGAGGACGAUCAGCCACACUGGGACUGAGACACGGCCCAGACUCCUACGGGAGGCAGCAGUGGGGAAUCUUGCGCAAUGAGCGAAAGCUUGACGCAGCGACGCCGCGUGAGGGAAGAAGGCCUUCGGGUUGCAAACCUCUUUCAGGAGGGACGAAGCCACUCGGGUUAAUACCCCAGAGGGUGACGGUACCUCCAGAAGAAGCCCCGGCUAACUACGUGCCAGCAGCCGCGGUAAUACGUANGGGGCAAGCGUUGUCCGGAAUUAUUGGGCGUAAAGAGCGUGUAGGCGGCCAAGUAGGUCCGUUGUGAAAACUCGAGGCUCAACUUCGAGAUGUCGACGGAAACCAUUUGGCUAGAGUCCGGAAGANGAGAGCGGAAUUCCUGGUGUAGCGGUGAAAUGCGCAGAUAUCNNAAGAACACCCGUGGCGAAAGCGGCUCUCUGGGACGGUACUGACGCUGAGACGCGAAAGCGUGGGGAGCGAACAGGAUUAGAUACCCUGGUAGUCCACGCCGUAAACGAUGGUGCUAGUG
Molecule: ribosomal RNA, 775 nt
Filed under: uncultured bacterium
Lineage: Bacteria
Description: bacterial SSU rRNA
Rfam family: Bacterial small subunit ribosomal RNA
Source: RNAcentral